This 506-nucleotide ribosomal RNA is filed under the name uncultured bacterium. RNAcentral's name for it is "partial 16S ribosomal RNA". It matches the Rfam family "Bacterial small subunit ribosomal RNA", at positions 29 to 523 of the family's 1533-position model. The record is from RNAcentral.
AGUGAACGCUGGCGGUAGGCCUAACACAUGCAAGUCGAACGGCAGCACAGGAGAGCUUGCUCUCUGGGUGGCGAGUGGCGGACGGGUGAGGAAUACAUCGGAAUCUACUCUGUCGUGGGGGAUAACGUAGGGAAACUUACGCUAAUACCGCAUACGACCUACGGGUGAAAGCAGGGGACCUUCGGGCCUUGCGCGAUUGAAUGAGCCGAUGUCGGAUUAGCUAGUUGGCGGGGUAAAGGCCCACCAAGGCGACGAUCCGUAGCUGGUCUGAGAGGAUCAUCCGCCCCAAUGGAAGUGAGCCACGGGCCAGACUCCUACGGGGCGCAGCAGGGGGGAAUAUUGGACAAUGGGCGCAAGCCGUAUCCAGCCAUACCGCGUGGGUGAAUAAGGCCUUCGGGUUGUAAAGCCCUUUUGUUGGGAAAGAAAUCCAGCUGGCUAAUACCCGGUGGGGAUGACGGUACCCAAAGAAUAAGCACCGGCUAACUUCGUGCCAGCCGCCGCCGUAA